GCUUGUCUCAAAGAUUAAGCCAUGCAUGUCUAAGUAUAAAUAGUAUACAGUGAAACUGCGAAUGGCUCAUUAAAACAGUUAUAGUUUAUUUGAUAAUUGAAAAUUACAUGGAUAACCGUGGUAAUUCUAGAGCUAAUACAUGCUAUCAAGCCCGACUUUUUGAAGGGUUGUGUUUAUUAGUUACAGAACCAACCCAGGCUCUGCCUGGUCUUGUGGUGAUUCAUAAUAACCGAACGAAUCGUAUGGCAUCAGCUGGCGAUGAAUCAUUCAAGUUUCUGACCUAUCAGCUUCCGACGGUAGGGUAUUGGCCUACCGUGGCAAUGACGGGUAACGGAGAAUUAGGGUUCGAUUCCGGAGAGGGAGCCUGAGAAACGGCUACCACAUCUAAGGAAGGCAGCAGG
This 401-nucleotide ribosomal RNA is filed under the name Amphorides quadrilineata. RNAcentral describes it as "partial small subunit ribosomal RNA". It matches the Rfam family "Eukaryotic small subunit ribosomal RNA", at positions 30 to 432 of the family's 1831-position model. The record is from RNAcentral. Lineage: Eukaryota; Ciliophora; Spirotrichea; Tintinnida; Tintinnidae.